Molecule: ribosomal RNA, 734 nt
Filed under: Escherichia coli
Lineage: Bacteria; Pseudomonadati; Pseudomonadota; Gammaproteobacteria; Enterobacterales; Enterobacteriaceae
Description: partial 23S ribosomal RNA
Rfam family: Bacterial large subunit ribosomal RNA
Source: RNAcentral
AUAAUGGGUCAGCGACUUAUAUUCUGUAGCAAGGUUAACCGAAUAGGGGAGCCGAAGGGAAACCGAGUCUUAACUGGGCGUUAAGUUGCAGGGUAUAGACCCGAAACCCGGUGAUCUAGCCAUGGGCAGGUUGAAGGUUGGGUAACACUAACUGGAGGACCGAACCGACUAAUGUUGAAAAAUUAGCGGAUGACUUGUGGCUGGGGGUGAAAGGCCAAUCAAACCGGGAGAUAGCUGGUUCUCCCCGAAAGCUAUUUAGGUAGCGCCUCGUGAAUUCAUCUCCGGGGGUAGAGCACUGUUUCGGCAAGGGGGUCAUCCCGACUUACCAACCCGAUGCAAACUGCGAAUACCGGAGAAUGUUAUCACGGGAGACACACGGCGGGUGCUAACGUCCGUCGUGAAGAGGGAAACAACCCAGACCGCCAGCUAAGGUCCCAAAGUCAUGGUUAAGUGGGAAACGAUGUGGGAAGGCCCAGACAGCCAGGAUGUUGGCUUAGAAGCAGCCAUCAUUUAAAGAAAGCGUAAUAGCUCACUGGUCGAGUCGGCCUGCGCGGAAGAUGUAACGGGGCUAAACCAUGCACCGAAGCUGCGGCAGCGACGCUUAUGCGUUGUUGGGUAGGGGAGCGUUCUGUAAGCCUGUGAAGGUGUACUGUGAGGUAUGCUGGAGGUAUCAGAAGUGCGAAUGCUGACAUAAGUAACGAUAAAGCGGGUGAAAAGCCCGCUCGCCGGAAGAC